AGUGGGGAAUAUUGCACAAUGGGCGCAAGCCUGAUGCAGCGACGCCGCGUGGGGGAUGACGGCCUUCGGGUUGUAAACCUCUUUCAGUAUCGGCGAAGCUCCAGGAUUUUUCUUGGGGUGACGGUAGGUACAGAAGAAGCACCGGCCAACUACGUGCCAGCAGCCGCGGUAAUACGUAGGGUGCGAGCGUUGUCCGGAAUUACUGGGCGUAAAGAGCUCGUAGGUGGUUUGUCACGUUGUCCGUGAAAACUCACAGCUUAACUGUGGGCGUGCGGGCGAUACGGGCAGACUGGAGUACUGUAGGGGAGACUGGAAUUCCUGGUGUAGCGGUGGAAUGCGCAGAUAUCAGGAGGAACACCGGUGGCGAAGGCGGGUCUCUGGGCAGUAACUGACGCUGAGGAGCGAAAGCGUGGGGAGCGAA
RNAcentral lists this ribosomal RNA (421 nucleotides) under uncultured Mycobacterium sp. Its description in RNAcentral is "bacterial SSU rRNA". It matches the Rfam family "Bacterial small subunit ribosomal RNA", at positions 353 to 772 of the family's 1533-position model. Lineage: Bacteria; Bacillati; Actinomycetota; Actinomycetes; Mycobacteriales; Mycobacteriaceae. The record is from RNAcentral.